Molecule: ribosomal RNA, 690 nt
Filed under: uncultured Bacteroidales bacterium
Lineage: Bacteria; Pseudomonadati; Bacteroidota; Bacteroidia; Bacteroidales
Description: bacterial SSU rRNA
Rfam family: Bacterial small subunit ribosomal RNA
Source: RNAcentral
CGAGGGGCAUCAGUUUGGUUUGCUUGCAACCAAAGCUGGCGACCGGCGCACGGGUGAGUAACACGUAUCCAACCUGCCUCAUACUCGGGGAUAGCCUUUCGAAAGAAAGAUUAAUAUCCGAUAGCAUAUAUUUCCCGCAUGGGUUUUAUAUUAAAGAAAUUCGGUAUGAGAUGGGGAUGCGUUCCAUUAGUUUGUUGGGGGGGUAACGGCCCACCAAGACUACGAUGGAUAGGGGUUCUGAGAGGAAGGUCCCCCACAUUGGAACUGAGACACGGUCCAAACUCCUACGGGAGGCAGCAGUGAGGAAUAUUGGUCAAUGGACGCGAGUCUGAACCAGCCAAGUAGCGUGAAGGAUGACUGCCCUAUGGGUUGUAAACUUCUUUUAUAUGGGAAUAAAGUUGUCCACGUGUGGAUUUUUGUAUGUACCAUAUGAAUAAGGAUCGGCUAACUCCGUGCCAGCAGCCGCGGUAAUACGGAGGAUCCGAGCGUUAUCCGGAUUUAUUGGGUUUAAAGGGAGCGUAGGCGGAUUGUUAAGUCAGUUGUGAAAGUUUGCGGCUCAACCGUAAAAUUGCAGUUGAUACUGGCAGUCUUGAGUGCAGUAGAGGUGGGCGGAAUUCGUGGUGUAGCGGUGAAAUGCUUAGAUAUCACGAAGACUCCGAUUGCGAAGGCAGUUCACUGGAGUGUAACUGA